AAAAAGACAAACCUAGUUUCCGUGUCCAAUAUUUAACCAUCCGUCUUAUUUGAAAAAAUUAUAAAAAAAGUUAAAAAGACAAGUUACGUAUAAAAUAUUAAUCAUGUUUUAACAAUAAAAAUACGAAUUAUAAAAAUUUUUUAUAUAAGACGAACAAUUAAAGUUGGACAUGGAAAUUUAGGGUUUGCAUUUUUU
Non-coding RNA from Oryza barthii, 195 nucleotides. The record is from Rfam. NCBI's taxonomy places the organism in Eukaryota, Viridiplantae, Streptophyta, Magnoliopsida, Poales, Poaceae.